AGCACGAAUAACUUCCUAAAAUUUGAACAAAAACUUCAAUCUGAUAGAAAGAUUAGAAAACAGUUUAGGAACUAGAUUACAAUAAUUGGCGGUAAAACAUGGAAUAUUUUAAAAGCUCUUUUGGAUGAUGCUUUGCUAUGCAAGAAAUUAUCAUGGACUAGACAAAAAGGAUCAAUAUCUAUUAAAGAUUGUGAAUUUUCCAGUAUUAUAGCAGAUAAUGUAUCGACUACGGACCAAUGUACCCUACAGGCGGUUUGUAAAAUUAUUCAAGAAUGGUUGCGACGCGCAGG
Long non-coding RNA from Atta colombica, 290 nucleotides. RefSeq lists it as uncharacterized. The record is from RefSeq and is a predicted model, not a curated record. The transcript is spliced from 3 exons. Lineage: Eukaryota; Metazoa; Arthropoda; Insecta; Hymenoptera; Formicidae.